UCAAGAAACUUCCACAAUGGGCGAAAGCCUGAUCCAGCCAUGCCGCGUGUGUGAAGAAGGUCUUCGGAUUGUAAAGCACUUUAAGUUGGGAGGAAGGGCCAUUACCUAAUACGUGAUGGUUUUGACGUUACCGACAGAAUAAGCACCGGCUAACUCUGUGCCAGCAGCCGCGGUAAUACAGAGGGUGCAAGCGUUAAUCGGAGUGACUGGGCGUAAAGGGCAUGUAGGCGGUUAUAUUAGUCUGAUGUAAAAGACCCGGGCUUAACCUGGGAUAUGCAUUGGAAACGGUAUAGCUAGAGUAUGGGAGAGGUGCGUGGAACUCACGGUGUAGGGGUGAAAUCCGUUGAUAUCGUGGGGAACACCAAAGGCGAAGGCAGCGCACUGGCCAAAAUCUGACGCUCACACACGAAAGCUAGGGUAGCGAAGAGGAUUAGAUACCCCCGUAGUCCCUGAGCGGGCUGGCAAGGCGCAU
RNAcentral lists this ribosomal RNA (472 nucleotides) under uncultured bacterium. Its description in RNAcentral is "bacterial SSU rRNA". It matches the Rfam family "Bacterial small subunit ribosomal RNA", at positions 355 to 825 of the family's 1533-position model. The record is from RNAcentral.